CAGUAGCCACGGUAAUACGCAGGUGGCAAGCGUUGUCCAGAAUUAUUGGGUGUAAAGGGCUCGCAGGCGGUUUCUUAAGUCUGAUGUGAAAGCCCCCGGCUCAACCGGGGAGGGUCAUUGGAAACUGGGAAACUUGAGUGCAGAAGAGGAGAGUGGAAUUCCACGUGUAGCGGUGAAAUGCGUAGAGAUGUGGAGGAACACCAGUGGCGAAGGCGACUCUCUGGUCUGUAACCGACGCUGAGGAGCGAAAGCGUGGGGAGCGAACAGGAUUAGAUACCCCUGUAGUCCCUGUCUCUUAUAA
RNAcentral lists this ribosomal RNA (301 nucleotides) under uncultured bacterium. RNAcentral describes it as "partial 16S ribosomal RNA". It matches the Rfam family "Bacterial small subunit ribosomal RNA", at positions 509 to 809 of the family's 1533-position model. The record is from RNAcentral.